UACGAAGGGGGCUAGCGUUGUUCGGAUUUACUGGGCGUAAAGCGCACGUAGGCGGACUUUUAAGUCAGGGGUGAAAUCCCGGGGCUCAACCCCGGAACUGCCUUUGAUACUGGAAGUCUUGAGUUCGAGAGAGGUGAGUGGAAUUGCGAGUGUAGAGGUGAAAUUCGUAGAUAUUCGCAAGAACACCAGUGGCGAAGGCGGCUCACUGGCCCGGUACUGACGCUGAGGUGCGAAAGCGUGGGGAGCAAACAGG
Molecule: ribosomal RNA, 253 nt
Filed under: uncultured prokaryote
Description: partial 16S ribosomal RNA
Rfam family: Bacterial small subunit ribosomal RNA
Source: RNAcentral